This 492-nucleotide ribosomal RNA is filed under the name uncultured bacterium. RNAcentral describes it as "bacterial SSU rRNA". It matches the Rfam family "Bacterial small subunit ribosomal RNA", at positions 28 to 506 of the family's 1533-position model. The record is from RNAcentral.
GAUGAACGCUAGCUACAGGCUUAACACAUGCAAGUCGCGGGGUAACAUCUGGGAGAGCUUGCUCUUCCAGGAUGACGACCGGCGCACGGGUGAGUAACGCGUAUCCAACCUGGCCCAUACCACGGGAUAGCCCGUCGAAAGGCGGAUUAAUACCGUAUGCUGUCAUCAAGAUGCAUAUAUUGAUGACGAAAGGACUGGCGGUAUGGGAUGGGGAUGCGUCUGAUUAGCUUGUUGGCGGGGUAACGGCCCACCAAGGCGACGAUCAGUAGGGGUUCUGAGAGGAAGGUCCCCCCACAUUGGAACUGAGACACGGUCCAAACUCCUACGGGAGGCAGCAGUGAGGAAUAUUGGUCAAUGGGCGCAAGCCUGAACCAGCCAAGUAGCGUGAGGGAAGACUGCCCUACGGGUUGUAAACCUCUUUUGUUUGGGAAUAAAGUGCGGGACGCGUCCCGCAUUGCAUGUACCAUUUGAAUAAGGACCGGCUAAUUCCGU